Molecule: transfer RNA, 78 nt
Filed under: Actinomycetes bacterium
Lineage: Bacteria; Bacillati; Actinomycetota; Actinomycetes
Also listed under: 2 other names
Description: Actinobacteria bacterium tRNA-Pro
Rfam family: tRNA
About the family: Transfer RNA (tRNA) molecules are approximately 80 nucleotides in length. Their secondary structure includes four short double-helical elements and three loops (D, anti-codon, and T loops).
Source: RNAcentral
CGGGCCGUGGCGCAGCUUGGUUAGCGCGUCUGACUGGGGGUCAGAAGGUCGCGGGUUCAAAUCCCGCCGGCCCGACCA